UGAGCACAAAGCGAACUAUUCUUUCGCCUUUUACUAAAGAAUACCGUGUGCGCGCUGCAAUUAGUGGCAUACGCCAAUUUUUGGAGGGGUUCUCUAUUUGUGACCCCAACAACUCUAGUCUUAACAUUUUGAAACCAUAAGUUGGAGGAAAUACCCCAAGUUAUGGAGGGGUAAAAUCUGUUUGUGAAUGCUACAAAAAGUGCUAACAAGAAGAAUCUGAUUGAAGAUGAAGAGAAUGUGAGACUGUAAAUACCAAUCAUGAAUAAUGUAUAUUCUAUUGUUCUGCUUUAUUGAUUUUUCCUUUCUUAUUUCGUAGAUUUUAAGCUUGGAUGUGGAUGAAUCUCUAAAGAGUCCUAGUUACAAGAGCAGAAGAAGUCAUGAAGCAAAUCAAAGAAGAAUUUCAGAGCAAAUAUGUGAACUACCUUGGCUGCAAGCCUGCAAAGAUUGAAGAAGUUGCUAUAGGGAUUUCUUGCUUACUAUAAUUUCAAAAUCUGAUUAAUUAUUGGGUCCAGAUUUUGGCAUAUCCAAAGUUGCAUCAGUUGUUCCAUGUUCUCAAAUGCUUGUUUUCCCCUUUGUUUUUCUUUUCAAGUCUUUCACUCAAUUUAUGUCAGUGUAUCCAUUUUUCUAAUGAGCUAUUUCAACACCAUAGUAUUUAGCUUCUUGAUUUAACUUAUCAUUACGUUUUUGAAUGGUGCAAUUUGUGUACUUCCCCUUGUGUCUUCACAUUAUAUUCGGA
Molecule: long non-coding RNA, 736 nt
Filed under: Solanum tuberosum (potato)
Lineage: Eukaryota; Viridiplantae; Streptophyta; Magnoliopsida; Solanales; Solanaceae
Description: long non-coding RNA (STUB_LNC002237)
Rfam family: U5 spliceosomal RNA (bases 1-106)
Source: RNAcentral